Molecule: small RNA, 107 nt
Filed under: Maribacter sedimenticola
Lineage: Bacteria; Pseudomonadati; Bacteroidota; Flavobacteriia; Flavobacteriales; Flavobacteriaceae
Also listed under: 1 other name
Description: Flavo-1 RNA
Rfam family: Flavo-1 RNA
Source: RNAcentral
AUGCGUUAGGGAUUGCAGCGGCAUCUUUUUCUAUUUUUGAACGAAGUCCGGGUCAAGUUUAAAUGUUUGAUCAAAUAGAAAAAAUAUAGCGUAAAGCCCGCCCGAAC